This 379-nucleotide unclassified non-coding RNA is filed under the name plant metagenome. Its description in RNAcentral is "partial contains 5.8S ribosomal RNA, internal transcribed spacer 2, and large subunit ribosomal RNA". The stretch from base 1 to 105 matches the Rfam family "5.8S ribosomal RNA", at positions 50 to 154 of the family's 154-position model. The record is from RNAcentral.
GAAGUGCGAUAAGCAAUGCGAAUUGCAGAAUUCCGCGAAUCAUCAGAUCUUUGAACGCAAAUGGCGCCAGAGGGAUAUCCUUCUGGCAUGUCUGUUUCAGUGUCUGAGAGGUUUCACACUAAUCUUAAUGUGAUUGAAUUCGAGUUAGUUAGUUUAAUUACUAGCUCUCUCUCUUUUCUCUCAUGAAAGAUGCGCGAGGGGAUCUUUCGGUCCAAUGAAGUGGUCACAUCACUCGAAUGUGAUUUCAUUGGAAGCACCGAAUUAUCAUUUAACAACUCGCGGUAUCAUUAAACUAAUAAAAAGUGAUACUUUUUGGUAUCAUUUUUUUCUCUCUACACCCUGCAUCUGAGAUAGGCAAGAUCACCCGCUGAACUUAAGC